RNAcentral lists this long non-coding RNA (476 nucleotides) under Pongo abelii (Sumatran orangutan). Its description in RNAcentral is "lincRNA". Lineage: Eukaryota; Metazoa; Chordata; Mammalia; Primates; Hominidae. The record is from RNAcentral.
GUGAAGAAAGGAACAAGGUUUUCAGCUAAUAACAUGGUUUGGGAAGGGAGUUUGAAAAGAGAAGAUAAAGAAAGAAAUACUCAUCUAGGAGAGUAGGAGUGUGGAUGGACUAGAAAAAAGAAAAAGAAAUCCUUGGUCCCCAACAUGGAAAUCCAAGGCAUAAAGAAAUCAUAGGCUCUGAAUCACCUGGGGAGGAAACUGCUGCAGACCAAAUUGCAUUUUAGUUCCAUUAAAUCAGAAACUUGGAUUGCUGGAUUCAGGUACAAGUAUUUUUAAAGCUCCCUAAGUGAUUAUAGUGUAUAGCCAAAGUUGAGAACAACUACUUUGGAGCCACUGGUCUAAUGGAACAAAUUGCAUUGAUUUACUUCCCUUAAUAUUACUAUGUAUAACUAACUAAAUAAGAUGUAUUAUUUUAUGUUUCUUCUUAAUAUUGGCAUAAACCAAUAAAUGAGUGUAUGUAUGUUUCACUGAUAGAA